AAACCACCAUACCAAGAAGCCUAGAGAAGCCCCACUGCUCAGAGAGAUGAUAAUUGACAGAGACACGAAAAGGGCCACUAUCCCACUGCCAGGUGAUGGCAUCGGAUGACUGCUCCUUCAGAGAUGGGACUGAACCUGCACCACUACUGCUUCACCUGUCACUACUGCUGGCUGCUGAGGUCACAUGCACAAGUCCUAACCUUGUCAUUGAGUUCAGAUGCAUGCAUUCAAUGGAUCCAGCUCAGUAUUUCUGCUCAGAGGAUGUGUAAGCCUGUAAAGUGCCCUGCUCUCUUCCCCUGCUAAGAGAAGAUAUUUUGGAGUCUGUGAUUCUCAUCUUGUUUGGAAGGGAGUUUUUGUUCUUUUGGGAUUAUUAAUUUGUAUUAUUAUUAUGUUUGUUUUAAAAAACAUUUUCUGUUGUGGUGUGUGUGUGUGUGUGUGUGUGUGUGUGUGUGUGUGUGUGUGUGUGUAGAGAAUGGCCCAUGGGAGUUGGUUCUCUUCUUCCACCAUGCAAAUACUGGAGAAUGAAUUCAGAUGGUCAGACCUGGUGGCAUCUAUACCCACUGAGCCACCUCAUUGACUCUUAUCACUUCAGCUGUGACUAACUUAAAGAUUUUAAGGAGAUGUUUAUUCUGGAUUAUAUGUGGGAUAUGAGAUGGAACAGUAUGUUUUGUUAUAAUACAAAAAGAGAAAAAUAUCUGGGCAGGAGUGAAGACAAGCAGAAGAGGCAAAAUGACCAUGGGGGUCAGAUCACCCAAACAUGAAAUUGGCAAGGCAUGGGCUCUGCCUUAAGUUCCCAAAGGAAGUAUGUCUCUUCUGUCACCUGAAAUUCAGCCUUGUGAACAUGACUUUGCAUUCUGGUAUCUAGGAUGGUGUCUGUCAUCUUUAGACACCACAACUGUGAUAAUUUGUCACAUAGCCAUGAUAAACAGAUGCAGAUGACUAAUAAUAGGUCCCCAGUGAUUCCCUCUGCUGUUAGCUGAGAAUCAAGUCCUUAUGACUCAUUCCUGUCCUGUGGGGUGUCCCCUCCUUCAGUGUGCUCUGUCCUCACAGCACAGAAAGAUUCCUAGUCCCACCCUGUGCCCUGUGUUUCUUCUGUCCUGGACUUGUGCACUAGUGUUUGUCACAUUAGAAGCUUAUCAUUAUUCAGGUCAUGUAUCCCACCCCAGAACUGUCCAUCUAUGUCUGUAUCUCUGGAGAUCUGCCUUUGUAUCAAGUUAUUAUCUGUCUAUCUACCUAUGUGUCUGUCUGUCUAUCAUCUAUCACUUAUCUAUUAUUUAUCAGUCAUCAAUCUUUUUAUCUACCUAUCUACCAUCUCUCACCUAUUAUUUAUAAUUCAUAUACCAUUUAUCUAUCACAUUUCAUUUAUCUAUUAUUUAACCAUCAUCAAUCUAUCAUAUCUUUAUCUAUUACAUAUCACCAAAUAUUAUUUAUCAAUCAUCUAUCUGUCAUCUAUCUAUCUAUUCAUCUAUCUAUAUAUCUAAUCUCUAUCUUUUCUGUUUGUCACCUAUUACAGUUAUCUAUCAUCUGUCAUCCAUCUACUAUUUUUCUACCUAUCAUCCAUCAUCUACCUAUCAUCUGUAUAUUUAUUUAUAUAUCAUCUAUCUCCCUUUCUUGCUAUGAUCUACCCUCUUUCUAUCUACUAUCUAUUAUCUAGCUACAUGAUUUGUAAAACAUACCUGUAUCUAUAGCUCGACUGUACAAUAAGACUGUCAUUGAUAAUCUUCUAUACUAUGAAACAUGAUAACAUAACUAUCUGUAACUGUAGCAUUUGUGCUAUGUGUGCUAUGACCAAACAACUAAACUUUGCUUUUUCUUAAAUUUUGAUGAAUCUAAAUUUAUGUAAUACUUUCACAAAUGUUUUCCAUAUGCUAGAUUUUUAAUGGUCAUCAAACUAUACAAAUCCCUAUGAGAUAUUAUUACCAUCUGCAUUUGUAGAAAGGGCCAUUAAAGCUUAAAGAGGUUGAUCAAUUUGGAACUAAGACCAAGGUCUGUUUGAAAUGUGUAUUAUUACGUAAGAGCCAUCUGUCAUAUUGCUUCUCUCUCAUAGGAAAAUCUACAAAUGGACGGUUUGGAAUCAAACUGUAUUAUACUUUAAUUUUCUGUCAAUAUUCUGUUACUCCAUAGCUUAUUCAUAAUUUCAUUUAGGACUCAAUAAAAUGCAUCCCACAAACAAAUCCACUCUAUUUAGGGCUCAGCUGUUUAUUUUUGUCUCCAUAUUGUCUACAGCUACCUUGGUUCAAGAGUGACUGAACUGAGCAGUGAUGGGGAGUACUUCUCAGACAGAAAACCUAAAAUGAUGAUCAUCUGGGUCUUAGCAUGUAACAUUUGUUAAUGAUGACUGAAGAAAUAUAUGUAUAUGUUUGUGAAUGUGAGUGUGCUUAUGUGUAUGUAUAAAUCCAUAUUCAUGUAUGCAUGGGUAUAUAUGUAUGUGUAAGUGGAUGGGUAUAUUUGUGCAUCUAUGUCUGUCUGUGAGCAUAUAUGUGCAUGUGUGUGCAUAAAUAUAUGUAUGCACAUAUAACUGUGCAUAUGUAUAUAUGUGUCUGUGUAUGCAUAUUGUGUAUUUGUGUGUGGAGCAUGCUGUGUUGUGUAAAUGUCCUAUAUGGGGUGUCUCCAUUCCCUGUAUGUUUGUGUGUAUGUGUAUGCAUGGGUGUGUGUGUGCGUGUGUGUGUGUGUGUGUGUGUAUGUGUGCAUGUGUGUGUGAAUGGUUGGGUAUAUUUGAACAUGUGUAUGUCCAUCUGCACAUAUGCAUAUAUGUGUAUGUGUGUUCAUAUAUAUGUGCACACAUGAGUGUCCAUAUGUAUAUAUGUGUCUCUGUGUGUACAUAUUUUUGUGUGUGCAUGUGUAUAUGUAUAUACCCAUGUGUUUUUCUUGGUGAGUAAUCAAACCUGAAUGAUUAUGUUGUCUUUCAAGGAAAACAUUUUCAGACUAUUUAUAACAAGUAUAUAAAUGCUCAUUAACAUUUUGUAAUUAAUAUUCAUGUAUAUUUUCUAUAGUUAUUAUAUUCAUAUAAUUUUUCAAAUCAUUUUAAAAUCAGUAUGUGUUUACAAAGGUUUAAGGUAGCAUAAAUGAUUUUAAAAUUCCCCUAUUACUGUACCAUUUACAUGUAGCUACUAUUUUACACUGGCAUGUUUCCUUCUUGACAUUGGUGCUUCUGCAUCCAAGACUAUACUAUGUGAGGCACAACUUUGUGUGUAAUUGUGGACAUGCAUGUGACUCUGUGUGUGUGUAUGUUUGUGUAUGUAACUGCACAUAUAUGUGAACGUUCAGAUGUGUUUCUGGCUGUAAUUCUGUCUGUGUAUGCAUCUGUGUGUAUGCAUCUCAGCAUGCGCAAGUGUGUGUGUCCAUGAAAUAAUUUUGACUUUGGAUGGGAAUGGGGACUCCCCGUACAGGACAUUUCCACACCACGGCAUGCUCCACCUAAGUGACAGCCACUCAAUCAAUCGUGUGAUCUCACUGUUUCAUCUCCUCCUAAAGGAUCAUACCAAAACAGAGCAAGAGAACUCUGUGAGGCAGAGGACCUAGGAGUCCCUGUGACCACAGACUCUUUGGUGAUUUAAUAUUUUGGAUCCUAUGGGUCACAACAACUGUAGUGUUCAUUGCUGCUGGC
RNAcentral lists this long non-coding RNA (3607 nucleotides) under Mus musculus (house mouse). RNAcentral's name for it is "predicted gene, 48697". Lineage: Eukaryota; Metazoa; Chordata; Mammalia; Rodentia; Muridae. The record is from RNAcentral.